This 425-nucleotide ribosomal RNA is filed under the name uncultured bacterium. RNAcentral's name for it is "partial 16S ribosomal RNA". It matches the Rfam family "Bacterial small subunit ribosomal RNA", at positions 354 to 796 of the family's 1533-position model. The record is from RNAcentral.
GUGGGGAAUAUUGCACAAUGGGCGAAAGCCUGAUGCAGCGACGCCGCGUGAGCGAUGAAGUAUUUCGGUACGUAAAGCUCUAUCAGCAGGGAAGAUAAUGACGGGACCUGACUAAGAAGCACCGGCUAAAUACGUGCCAGCAGCCGCGGUAAUACGUAUGGUGCAAGCGUUAUCCGGAUUUACUGGGUGUAAAGGGAGCGUAGGCGGCGUGGUAAGUCAGAAGUGAAAGCCCGGGGCUCAACCCCGGGACUGCUUUUGAAACUAUCAUGCUAGAGUGUCGGAGAGGUAAGUGGAAUUCCUAGUGUAGCGGUGAAAUGCGUAGAUAUUAGGAGGAACACCAGUGGCGAAGGCGGCUUACUGGACGAUAACUGACGCUGAGGCUCGAAAGCGUGGGGAGCAAACAGGAUUAGAAACCCGGGUAGUCC